Molecule: ribosomal RNA, 820 nt
Filed under: uncultured prokaryote
Description: bacterial SSU rRNA
Rfam family: Archaeal small subunit ribosomal RNA
Source: RNAcentral
GCCUAAAGGGGCCGUAGCUUGAUAAUAGGGUCCCUUGAGAAAUCCGCCGGCUUAACUGGCGGGCGUUCAGGGGAAACUUGUUUUCUAGGGACCGGGAGAGGUGAGGGGUACUGCCGGGGUAGGAGUGAAAUCCUGUAAUCCCGGUGGGACCACCUAUGGCGAAGGCAUCUCACCAGAACGGGUCCGACAGUGAGGGACGAAAGCUGGGGGAGCAAACCGGAUUAGAUACCCGGGUAGUCCCAGCUGUAAACUAUGUGCGUUAGGUGUGUCAGUGACCACGUGUCACUGAGGUGCCGAAGGGAAACCGUGAAACGCACCGCCUGGGGAGUACGGUCGCAAGGCUGAAACUUAAAGGAAUUGGCGGGGGAGCACCACAACGGGUGGAGCCUGCGGUUUAAUCGGACUCAACGCCGGGAAUCUCACCGGAUAAGACAGCUGAAUGAUAGUCGGGAUGAAGACUCUACUUGACUAGCUGAGAGGAGGUGCAUGGCCGUCGUCAGUUCGUACUGUGAAGCAUCCUGUUUAGUCAGGCAACGAGCGAGACCCACGCGAGCAGUUGCCAGCUUGACCUUCGGGUUGAUGGGGACACUGCUCGGACCGCCUCUGCUAAAGGGGAGGAAGGACUGGGCAACGGUAGGUCAGCAUGCCCCGAAUUAUCCGGGCUACACGCGGGCUACAAUGGACAGGACAAUGAGUUUCGACACCGAGAGGUGAGGAUAAUCUUCUAACCCUGUCCCAAGUUCGGAUUGCGGGUUGUAACUCACCCGCAUGAAGCUGGAAUCCGUAGUAAUCGCGUUUCAACAUACCGCGGUGAAUAUGU